GAUGAAGAACGCAGUGAAAUGCGAUAAGUAAUGUGAAUUGCAGAAUUCAGUGAAUCAUCGAAUCUUUGAACGCACAUUGCGCCCGCCAGUAUUCUGGCGGGCAUGCCUGUCCGAGCGUCAUUUCAACCCUCGAACCCCUCCGGGGGGUCGGCGUUGGGGAUCGGCCUGCCUCUUGGCGGUGGCCGUCUCCGAAAUACAGUGGCGGUCUCGCCGCAGCCUCUCCUGCGCAGUAGUUUGCACACUCGCAUCGGGAGCGCGGCGCGUCCACAGCCGUUAAACACCCAACUUCUGAAAUGUUGACCUCGGAUCAGGUAGGAAUACCCGCUGAACUUAAGCAUAUCAAUAAGCGGAGGA
This 354-nucleotide unclassified non-coding RNA is filed under the name soil metagenome. RNAcentral's name for it is "partial contains 5.8S ribosomal RNA, internal transcribed spacer 2, and large subunit ribosomal RNA". The stretch from base 1 to 120 matches the Rfam family "5.8S ribosomal RNA", at positions 35 to 154 of the family's 154-position model. The record is from RNAcentral.